RNAcentral lists this long non-coding RNA (755 nucleotides) under Centruroides sculpturatus (bark scorpion). Its description in RNAcentral is "uncharacterized LOC111620223, transcript variant X4". The record is from RNAcentral. Lineage: Eukaryota; Metazoa; Arthropoda; Arachnida; Scorpiones; Buthidae.
ACUCGAAAUAUUACAUCUAUGACGUAAAACUCGUGACGUAACGCGUGACGCAUUGCAACGACAAUUUCGAAUUCGUUCCAUUUCGUAUUGUUGCCGACGCCAUCUUGGAAAUUUAUGCUAUCCGGAAAUUGCGAGUUCUUUUUCCCUCCAUUUUAACAUUUUUCGUACAAAUUUUAAUAAUGAAAACUCGCGUAACGUAGAAAGAAGUAUCAUUCUCAAAUUUUAUAAUCCACUUUCCAAAGAAACAUGGAAUCAUUUUAAAAACUUCUUUGCUCAAAAAAUUAACAAAGGAAAGAUUUAACUGAUUGUGAGCACUUAAAGCCAGGAGUUGUGUGACAUCAUUUAGGCUUCUGACAUACCAAUAGAGCAGCUAUGUGACAUGUAUGUAUGAAAAUUACUUUGUGGAUAAUCAACUCAAUGGUUAUCUGCUCCACACACCUUCCUUUAGAAAAUGUUGAUAUUGAACUUUGUCACUGCAAUCUUUUAACAAACAUUUCCAUUAUGACAAAGAGCAUGCAACAUUUUCUUCUAUAAAUGGUCAGUGAACUACUUUACUUUACUUUUAUAUUCCCGGGACCAUUUUAAUUUUAAAUUUUGUAAAAAUUGGCAUUCAGAGUUUGAUUUGUCUUGAUGUUCAUUUUGGAUUAAUUAGCCCUAUGUUAAUUAAGCACAAUAAAAUUAGGUUCAAAUUUUCUUUAUCAUAUAUAAUGUAAUAGAGAUAGCUGUAAAAGCAGAUUAUAAAUUAUGAAUUAUUG